UGGCGGACGGGUGAGUAAUGUCUGGGAAACUGCCUGGUGGAGGGGGAUAACUACUGGAAACGGUAGCUAAUACCGCAUAACGUCGCAAGACCAAAGAGGGGACCUUCGGGCCUCUUGCCAUCGGAUGUGCCCAGAUGGGAUUAGCUAGUAGGUGGGGUAACGGCUCACCUAGGCGACGAUCCCUAGCUGGUCUGAGAGGAUGACCAGCCACACUGGAACUGAGACACGGUCCAG
RNAcentral lists this ribosomal RNA (234 nucleotides) under uncultured bacterium. Its description in RNAcentral is "partial 16S ribosomal RNA". It matches the Rfam family "Bacterial small subunit ribosomal RNA", at positions 96 to 334 of the family's 1533-position model. The record is from RNAcentral.